This 654-nucleotide long non-coding RNA is filed under the name Triticum aestivum (bread wheat). RNAcentral describes it as "long non-coding RNA (TAES_LNC010130)". Lineage: Eukaryota; Viridiplantae; Streptophyta; Magnoliopsida; Poales; Poaceae. The record is from RNAcentral.
CAUGAACAAAUAAGGCACCUAUACCUGUUCUUGGAGCUGUGUCUGAACCUACAUUUGCAUAUGUAGAGCUUCUGCCAAGUUCCUAAGAAAAGGAGAAGGGGACAGAUGUAAAUUUUUAAGGUCAUGGUAUUUACCAUGCAUACAUUCCAGUGUAAUAAUUCAGAGAUAUUACUUGUUUUUGAACGGAGCAGAAUCAAUACGAUUAUUAGUAAAAAAUAGAGUCUGUAACAAUACUAUAAAAGUGCUAGUCUCCAAAGUCCACCAUGCCGCAAAAACAUUUAUCACCCAUUUAAAUAUGGAUUUGGGUUCAUAUAUACAGAAAGCGCAGUAAUUAUUGUGAAGUAAGAAAAAGAAUGCUCCUACUAUCAGAAAUAUAUGCCGACAAGAACACCAUCCUAUUAGAGCUCGAAAACAGGAACAGAGAAGGCACCUAUAGCUGUUCAUGGAGCUGUGUCUGAACCUCCAUUUGCAUAUGUAGAGCUUCUGCCAAGUUCCUGAGAAAAGCAGAAGGGGACAUAUGUAAAUUUGUAAGGUCAUGGUAUUUACCAUGCAUACAUUCUAGUGUAAUAAUUCAGAGAUAUUACUUGUUUUUGAACGGAGCAUUUCCACUGCUACCUAGUUGUACCUUCUUAAUGUCCGAGGAGGCCUCCUUGU